GAAAAUACACAUCUCCAUAUUCACAACAGCAACCAUCAUUCAAGAGGUUAUGGAAAUCAUCAGCCUCAAAAGCGUAAUAGCUCUACUUCUCUUGCUUUCUGUAAUUUGUUUUGGGUUUUGCACUGCCAUCGACACCAUGACCUCCACUCGAUUCAUCGAAGACCCUGAAACUCUAGUCUCUAAUGGAAGUGCCUUCAAACUGGGUUUCUUUAGCCUUGCCGAUUCAACCAACCGCUACGUUGGCAUCUGGUACAGCACCCCUUCUUUAUCAACUGUCAUAUGGGUGGCUAACAGGGACAAACCCCUCAAUGAUUCCUCUGGGAUUGUGACCAUAUCCGAAGAUGGUAAUCUUCUGGUUAUGAAUGGCCAGAAAGAGAUUGUCUGGUCCUCAAAUGUUUCAAAUGCAUCAGCAAACUCAAGUGCUCAGCUUUUGGAUUCUGGAAACCUUGUUCUGCAAGAUAACAGCGGAAGCAUCACAUGGGAGAGCAUCCAACAUCCUUCUCAUUCACUUUUGCCAAAUAUGAAAAUCAGCACUGAUACAAAUACUGGUGAGAAGGUAGUACUAACAUCAUGGAAAUCUCCCUCUGAUCCAUCUAUUGGAAGCUUCUCUUUAGGAAUGAAUCCUCUAAACAUUCCCCAAAUAUUCAUCUGGAAUGGCAGUCAUCCAUAUUGGCGAAGUGGUCCAUGGAGCAGUCAGAUCUUUAUUGGAAUACCCGACAUGGAUUCAGUUUACCGCAGUGGAUUUCAGGUGGUUGAUGAUAAAGAAGGUACCGUUUAUGCAACUUUUACUGAGGCAAAUUCCUCCAUCUUUUUAUACUAUGUCUUGACUUCCCAAGGAUCACUAGUGCAAACAGAUAGGGAGUACGGGAAGGAGGAGUGGGGGGUUACUUGGAGGAGCAAUAAAAGUGAGUGUGAUGUUUAUGGUACAUGUGGGGCAUUUGGAAUCUGUAAUUCAGGGACUUCACCAAUUUGCAGCUGUUUGAGAGGGUACGAGCCAAAGUAUACAGAGGAAUGGAGUAGAGGAAAUUGGACUAGUGGGUGUGUGAGGAAGACAACAUUACAAUGUGAAAGAACAAACAGCAGCGGUCAACAGGGCAAAAUAGAUGGAUUUUUUAGGCUAACAACAGUGAAAGUUCCAGACUAUGCAGAUUGGUCUCUUGCUCACGAAGACGAAUGCAGAGAGGAGUGUUUGAAGAAUUGUUCUUGUAUUGCUUAUUCAUAUUAUAGUGGCAUCGGUUGUAUGUUAUGGAGCGGAAGCUUGAUUGAUUUGCAAAAAUUCACUAAACGCGGGGCAGAUCUUUACAUUCGCCUUGCACAUUCAGAACUAGGUAAAAAUGUUCUUGUCUUCUUUACCUCUCGUUUUUCUGCCUGUCUCCUUUUGCAGAAAGGAAUAAUCCAACACUCUAAGCUUAUUAAAUACUUGGUGGCAGCUUGUAUCCAAUCCAGUCUCAUGUAUUAGCCUUGUUCUGUUUUACAGAUAAGAAGAGAGAUAUGAAAGUAAUUAUUUCUGUUACAAUUGUAAUAGGAACAAUUGCCAUUGCCAUCUGUACAUAUUUCUUAUGGAGGUGGAUAGGCAGACAAGCAGGUAAUUUGCCCAUUUACAGAGGUUCAGUAGGCUGUAAUAUAUUUGUAGUUGUUAUCUAGAAGUGACUCUAUUCUAUGUUCUGUAACAGUGAAGGAGAAAAGCAAGGAGAUUUUACCAUCUGACAGGGGGCAUGCAUAUCAAAAUUAUGAUAUGAAUAUGCUUGGAGAUAACGUGAACCGAGUUAAACUUGAGGAGUUACCACUUCUGGACUUUGAGAAGCUGGCAGCUGCAACAAACAACUUUCAUGAGGCCAAUAAGCUCGGGCAGGGUGGUUUUGGUCCAGUAUACAGGGUAAAGCUUAUUCAUCUCAAGCUGUAUGGGGUAUUAUUUUGAACUAUUAGCUAUUAAUCUAGUUGAUUUUUUGAAGGGUAACUUGCCAGGAGGACAAAAAAUAGCAGUGAAAAGACUUUCGAGAGCUUCUGCACAGGGUCAAGAAGAAUUCAUGAAUGAGAUGAUAGUGAUUUCUAAAAUCCAACACCGGAAUCUUGUUAGACUUCUUGGCUUCUGCAUUGAAGGGGACGUUAGACUUCUUGGCUUCUGCAUUGAAGGGGACGAAAAGUUGUUGAUCUACGAGUACAUGCCAAACAAAAGCUUGGAUGCCUUUCUCUUUGGUUAGAUCAUGCUAUUGUCCUGAAUGUUAUAUGUAGUUGUUCCAAUUUCACAUCUCUGCAUCACUAUAGAUUCAAUUCAGCAGUUUUUUUUGUCCAUAUUGUCCAUUGACUCUUAUGUUUCUGUUUUCCUUUUCUGUGCUCAUAAUUUAGAUCCUCUCAAGAGAGAGUCUCUGGAUUGGAGAAGACGCUUCAGCAUUAUUGAAGGGAUUGGAAGGGGCCUCCUUUACCUUCACAGGGAUUCUAGAUUAAAAAUCAUUCAUCGAGACCUAAAGGCAAGUAACAUUUUGUUGGAUGAAGACCUGAAUGCUAAGAUUUCAGACUUUGGUAUGGCAAGGAUAUUUGGAAGCAAUCAGGAUCAAGCCAAUACAAUGAGGGUCGUGGGAACAUAGUAAGUGGUCAUUGCCUUCUCACAAUUUCCUUAAGUCAUCUAUUUGAUAUCCUAAUAUUUAUAGCUCAAUGAUUUAAUGCAGUGGUUACAUGUCCCCUGAGUAUGCAAUGGGAGGACAAUUUUCAGAAAAAUCUGAUGUAUUCAGCUUUGGGGUGUUGUUGUUAGAGAUUGUAAGUGGGAGAAGGAACACUAGUUUUCAAUAUGAUGACCAGCACAUGAGCCUUCUGGGAUAUGUAAGUUUAUAAUAGAUAUCAUCUACUCAAUUAAGUAAAGUUUCAUCAUUUUCCUCUAACAAAUUUAACUUAAAAUUACACUAUGUUGUGUUGAGUUUUUCAGGCAUGGACACUAUGGUGUCAACACAACAUCCAAGAACUAAUAGAUGAAACCAUAGCAGAAGCAUGCUUCCAAGAGGAGAUAUCAAGAUGCAUACAUGUGGGACUGUUAUGUGUGCAAGAAUCAGCUAAAGAUAGGCCAUCCAUUUCAACUGUUCUGUCAAUGCUCUCUAGUGAAAUUGCACAUCUUCCUUCCCCAAAGCAACCUCCAUUCUUAGAGAAGCAGACUGCGAUAGAUACUGAGUCUUCUCAACCGAGAGAAAACAAAUGUUCUUCAAACCAAGUCACUGUUACAAUCAUUCAGGGCCGAUAGAUAUGAUUUGGUGGCAAUUAAUUCAACCUCCAUUCUUUUUCUUUUUUUUUAUAUAUAUCCCUUUUUAAUACUAAUUCAACUUGGUGACUUCAGUCCUAAGAACACCAUCAUGUUGUACUAUCGAAUUCGUUGAUUUGGAUCCUUUAUUCUUCAGAAAAAUGUAUAUGGAUCAUCAACAAUGAUCAUUUAAAAAAAACAUGGAACAGGGAAACAACACAUGAAGAUUAGACUUGUUAAGAUAUGAAUACUUUCUACUAUUUUUGGAUUAAAUUGAUUUUUAUCUUGAUAUCUAGUCAUCUAAUGUUGAGUGUGACAGCUUCCAAACUCCAUGCAGACUCUUCUUAUGGCGUGGCGAGGACAGUAGGUGGUGCUAGCAGACAAAAUUACAUGCCGUUUAAGUCUGACUAUUAUAGUGGGAAGAGUCAUGGGGCACCUUCUUUUGAAUAUAAAACCAGUUUAAAGACUCCCAAAAAUAGAGUUGACGAUGACUUUGAUAUUUUAUUUGAAAAGGAACAUCUCCACUGGUAAUGGAAAGAUACGAGGAGGAAAUUAAGAGACAGAACAUCUGAAAAUAUCUCUAGACACAGUCCAUUUUCACUGCAACAGAAAACAUUGAGGCAGUUAUAUAGAAGGAAGAUGGGGAGGUCACAUGGGAGAGAAAGCACACUGAGUGUGAUGUUUAUGGUAAGUGUGGGGUAUUUGGAUUCUCUAAUCCAAAGGAUUCACCAAUUUGGAAGUGAAAGGCUAGGAAUGGAAGGACAAUUUUGUUUAAGGAUGAUUUAUAUUAAAGUGAGAAAAUAUUACUUUUUAUAUUUGGUUUAUAGUAGUUUUUUUUUUCAUUUAUAGAAAAAGCCAAUUCAUUUUUAACGAUGCUUCCACGUGCUCAAACUAUUUUGCAUUCAACUUCAUCCUCAACAUGAAAUAAAGAAUAAAAACCCUAUCCUAAGAAGGUGAUACCAUGUGAAAUAUUUCUAAAUGUAUAGUUUGAAAAGAAAACAUAUCAUUUUUAAAAAUAUAAUUAAACAUAUGGGUAAAAAAAAAACAUGAAACAACUGAUUUUAAUUCACUUGAAAAUUUUUUUAUCUUUAUUUUUUUUUUUACAUGCCCUCAUGGCAUGGAGAUUUUUUUUUUCCUUUAAUAAUAAAUUUUAUUUUAAAGACUUCUUGCUCAAUUUUUUUCAAUGUAUUAACGUCCUAAGUUUUGUGAUUAAGUUUUUGAAUAACGGGUGUUUAGUGUUAUACUAACAAAAACAUCAAUGUCAGCGUAUUAAUGAAAGGGCAUAAAAUCAUAGCAAACUAAACACAAAUGUAUACAAAAUUUUAAUUUGAUUUGACCAAUUAUGCCUAUUUGCAUAAAUAAAAGAGAAUAUUCUAUUAUAUAAUGGAGAAUAUGACAAAGGAUAAAAACAUAUAUAAUUAUUGAGUUUCGAAACAUCCUACUUUUCUUUACUCUUUGUAUCUCUACCCUAAAUCAUGAGUCUUUUUGUUUCACCAAGUGUUUUUCACUCUUUUUUAUAUUUACAUCCUAAUAAGUUCUCUUGUUUCACUAAGUGCCUAUUUUUCUUCCUCAUAUCUCUAUUCACUUUAUACAAUCUUCACAAACUCAUCUUUCUCUCAUAAUUUUUUUCCGUAACUUAAAAUAUUUAUAGAAAUAUUCCUACUAACUUUUCUUAGAAUCACAAAUAAAUUUAGGAAAUAUUAUGUAUAAUAUUUUUAAACAAUUUUUACCUUGAAUAAAAUGCUAUUAAGUCAAUCUUUUACUUCCCCAUGAUCUAUGAUUUUCUUAUGCAUUUCGCUUUCCUUAUGUGCCACUAUUUCCUUCAUGCUCUCUAGUCUUAUCAUACACCAUAACCCCUUCUUUUUAUAUCAUUGACGAGAGAAAACUCAACUUUAUCUUAAACUAGAAUUCUUUUAGUAAUCAUUUUCUAAGUGUUAUUUCUUUUGCUUUUCAUGAGAUUUCCAAAUAAGGUUCUUUUAGACAUCUUCAACCAAAACUUUUUUAAACAAACUUAAUUUCUUUCGGUCAUCUUCAACUUAGGCUCUUUUAGACAUUUUUAACUAAGGUUCUAAUAUGACUUAGAUAUAUUCACACCUUAGUGGACCCUUUUACUUCAUCAAAUGUCUCUCACUCUUACUCAAAUCUCUAUCUAUCAUGUAUAAUUCUCAUAAGUUUAUCUUUCUCUUAUAACUUUUUCUUUUUAUGACCUACAAUAUUUAUAAAAAUAUUUCUAUUAACUUUCAUUAUUUUAUAAGUAAUUUAAUUACAAUCACAAAUAAAUUUAGAAAUAUUUUAUAUGAUACUCUAUAAAAAUAAAUAUGCUUUAAUUCGGAAUUCAAGACACUUCUUAACAUUUAAACUUGCAACAUCAAAUGUAAAUGAAAAAUAUGAAGGAAAGAAAUGAGAAGUUGCAAGGAAAAAGGACUGGACGAGCUUGGAUAAGAGAACAUUCAUAGAAAGAUUGAAAGUUGGAAUAUGGGUCUCGAGUUUAAAAACCAUCUUCAAACCGAAAUGGCCCACAUGAUUGUUGAGGUUAAAACCAAAUUAUUUAAGAAUAAAAAAAAAAAAGCAGAUUAAAAAGUUGAUUUCCAGUAUAUCCACAAUACCUUAAAAUGGGGAGUAGACUACCAAUAGAAGAGUAAGACCAGCCAAACAGGAAGAGAGUUGAGUGAAUCUAGAAACUUAUUGCCCAAUGCCCUUGCAUGCUAAGAAAUUGAAUAUGACUUUAUGAAUUUAAAAAAAAAAAAAAUCAUUAUUAAAUUUUUUUUAUACAAAAACAUCAAAUUAUUAUCUUCUUCAACUUUCAAACACCCAUUCAUCCCAAACCCUAAUAUCCUUUUCUUCAUUUUUUUUUUUAAUUUUCUUCAUCUUCAUCCUCAUUUUUUUCCUCCAACAUCAAAAUAAAGAAUGAAAAACCAUCGGAUUCGGGUUUUAGAGGAUGGGUGGAGUGAGGUUGAAAAGAAGACUAUUUUAAAUAUUUCAUAUAUAAAAUUUAUUUUCAUUCAAAAAAUGAUAGCCUUAUAAAGAGUUUUAAUGGAUAUAUUUAAAAAUUUUCUUAUUAGAAAUAAGAAUAUAAAUAAAAAAUGUUAUUGAAACUAAAAUCUCCGCGUUCUUAUUAGGAUUUUGAUUCUUGACUUGCACCUGAAACCAUCAUUCACUCGUAUUCCUAUUUUUAUUUCUACUCCCAUUUUUAUAUAUCUAAUGCAUUUGUAUUAUAAAAUUUGUUUAACAGCAUAAUUGCCUAAAUAUUUCAGCAUAGGAUCGAUUAAGCUGAAAAUUUUUGGAAACACAUUGAAGAAUUGGAAAAAUGUCUGAAGUUUGGCUGAGAAAAAAGGGGUAUCAUUCAGGGAUUUAGAAGCAGGAUUGAGGGUAAAGAUCGAGUGGCAUGGAUUUAUAUUUGAUUCAUUCUGUAAUUAAUUCCACUGGACAGCAUCAUGGUAUAGAAAGUUUGGACCAUCAAGGAGUCGAGGUGAAAAUUGGGCUGGGAGGCCCAUGGCCUGGCUCGGCAUGACACAGUUACUGUGCAGGUUGAAUGAGGCCAUGUUAAUUUCUGGAUUCAACAAUCAAAGAAUUUGAACAAUGUCUGACGUGGGGCGCAGGAAAGAAUAUGGAUUUUAAUAUUCACGAAUUUAGAAGCAAGCACUAAUAUUUGAUCCAACCUGCAAUCAAACCCAAUAGACUGUGUCAUGGUAUGAAAGUACAGUUCCUUGAUCCAUCCAGGACCCCAACUUAAAGCGAUUGGGCAAAAAUUAAUGUGGCAACCGGUUGAGGAAUUGGGAAGACAGGUGGCUUCUAGAUUAAUCGAAUGCAUAGCAUUUUUCUUACGCAAGGCUGCUUGAAAAGACAAAUUGAGUUGCCAGGCAAGACCUGCAAUGGUAUUACUAAAAGAAAUAUUUAUUUAUAUAUAUCCAUGUGGGAACGGAGGGAGAUGAUUUAGACCUUUUGGUUACAGAUGAAGAUGGAAAAUGUCAAAACAUCAUUGUAUGACAUAUGCAUCGAAAAUAUACAUCUCCAUAUUCACAACAGCAACCAUCAUUCAAGAGGUUAUGGAAAUCAUCAGCCUCAAAAGCGUAAUAGCUCUACUUCUCUUGCUUUCUGUAAUUUGUUUUGGGUUUUGCACUGCCAUCGACACCAUGACCUCCACUCGAUUCAUCGAAGACCCUGAAACUCUAGUCUCUAAUGGAAGUGCCUUCAAACUGGGUUUCUUUAGCCUUGCCAAUUCAACCAACCGCUACGUUGGCAUCUGGUACGGCACCCCUUCUUUAUCUACUGUCAUAUGGGUGGCUAACAGGGACAAACCCCUCAAUGAUUCCUCUGGGAUUGUGACCAUAUCUGAAGAUGGUAAUCUUCUGGUUAUGAACGGCCAGAAAGAGAUUGUCUGGUCCUCAAAUGUUUCAAAUGCAGCAGCAAAUUCAAGUGCUCAGCUUUUAGAUUCUGGAAACCUUGUUCUGCGAGAUAACAGCGGAAGCAUCACAUGGGAGAGCAUCCAACAUCCUUCUGAUUCACUUUUGCCAAAGAUGAAAAUCAGCACUGAUACAAAUACUGGUGAGAAGGUAGUACUAACAUCAUGGAAAUCUCCCUCUGAUCCGUCUAUUGGAAGUCUCUCUGCAGGAAUAAACCCUCUAAGCAUUCCUCAACUAUUCAUCUGGAAUGGCAGUCAUCCAUAUUGGCGAAGUGGUCCAUGGGACGGACAGAUCUUUAUUGGAAUACCCGACAUGAAUUCAGUUUUCCAUAAUGGAUUUCAGGUGGUUGAUGAUAAAGAAGGUACUGUUUAUGCAACUUUUACUGUGGCAAAUUCGUCUAUCUUUUUAUAUUAUGUCUUGACUCCCCAAGGAACACUAGUGGAAACAUACAGGGAGUACGGGAAGGAGGAGUGGGAGGUUACUUGGAGGAGCAAUAAUAGUGAGUGUGAUGUUUAUGGUACAUGUGGGGCAUUUGGAAUCUGUAAUUCAGGGAAUUCACCAAUUUGCAGCUGUUUGAGAGGGUAUGAGCCAAAGUAUAUAGAGGAAUGGAGUAGAGGAAAUUGGACUAGUGGAUGUGUGAGGAAGACGCCACUACAAUGUGAAAGAACAAACAGCAGCGGUCAACAGGGCAAACUAGACGGAUUUUUUAGGCUAACAACAGUGAAAGUUCCAGACUUUGCGGAUUGGUCUCUGGCUCUCGAAGAUGAAUGCAGAGAGCAGUGCUUGAAGAAUUGUUCUUGCAUGGCUUAUUCAUAUUAUAGUGGCAUCGGUUGUAUGUCAUGGAGUGGAAACUUGAUUGAUUNNNNNNNNNNNNNNNNNNNNNNNNNNNNNNNNNNNNNNNNNNNNNNNNNNNNNNNNNNNNNNNNNNNNNNNNNNNNNNNNNNNNNNNNNNNNNNNNNNNNACUAUCUGACCGAGGGGAUGCAUAUCAAAUUUAUGAUAUGAAUAGGCUUGGAGACAAUGCAAACCAGGUUAAACUUGAAGAGUUACCACUUCUCGCCCUUGAGAAGCUGGCAACUGCAACAAACAACUUUCAUGAGGCCAAUAAGCUUGGGCAGGGUGGUUUCGGUCCAGUAUACAGGGUAAUGCUUGUUCAUUUUGAGCUUUCUAGGGUAUUAUUUUGAACUAUUAGUUAUUAAUUUAGUUGAUUGUUUGAAGGGAAAAUUGCCAGGAGGACAAGAAAUAGCAGUGAAAAGACUUUCAAGAGCAUCUGCACAGGGUCUAGAAGAAUUCAUGAAUGAGGUGAUGGUGAUUUCUAAAAUCCAACACCGGAAUCUUGUUAGACUUCUUGGCUGCUGCAUUGAAGGAGAUGAAAAGUUGUUGAUCUAUGAGUACAUGCCAAACAAAAGCUUGGAUGCCUUUCUCUUUGGUUAGAUCAUGUUAUUGUCCCUAAUGUUAUAUGUUGUUCCAAUUUCAUAGCUCUGCAUCACUAUAGAUUCAAUGCAGCACAGCAGCAGUAUUUUGUCCAUAUUAUCAAUUGAGACUUAUGUUUCCGUUUUCUUUUUCUAUGCCCAUCAUUCAGAUCCUCUCAAGCGAGAGUUUUUGGAUUGGAGAAAACGCUUCAGCAUUAUCGAAGGGAUUGGAAGAGGUCUCCUUUACCUUCACAGAGAUUCUAGAUUAAGAAUCAUUCAUCGAGACCUAAAGGCAAGUAACAUUUUGUUGGAUGAAGAUCUGAAUGCUAAGAUUUCAGACUUUGGUAUGGCAAGGAUAUUUGGAAGCAAUCAAGAUCAAGCCAAUACAAUGAGGGUCGUGGGAACGUAGUAAGUGGUCAUUGCCUUCUCACAAUUUCCUUAAGUCAUCUAUUUGAUAUCCUAAUAUUUAUAGCUCAAUGAUUUAAUGCAGUGGUUAUAUGUCCCCUGAGUAUGCAAUGGGAGGACAAUUUUCAGAAAAAUCUGAUGUAUUCAGCUUUGGGGUGUUGUUAUUAGAGAUUGUAAGAGGGAGAAGGAACACUAGUUUUCAAUAUGAUGACCAGUACAUGAGCCUUUUGGGAUAUGUAAGUGUAUAAUGGAAAUCAUCACCUUAGUUAUAAAGAGUUUCAUCAUUGUAUUCCAGCAAAUUUAACCUAAAAUUACACUAUGUUUUGUUAAAAUUUUCAGGCAUGGACACUCUGGUGCGAACACAACAUCAAAGAACUAAUAGAUGAAACCAUAGCAGAAGCCUGCUUCCAAGAGGAGAUAUCAAGAUGCAUACAUGUGGGACUGUUAUGUGUGCAAGAAUCAGCUAAAGACAGGCCAUCCAUUUCAACUGUUGUUUCUAUGCUCUCUAGUGAAAUUGCACAUCUUCCUCCCCCAAAGCAACCUCCAUUCUUGGAGAAGCAGACUGCGAUAGAUAUUGAGUCUUCUCAACUGAGACAAAACAAAUAUUCUUCAAACCAAGUAACAGUUACAGUCAUUCAGGGCCGAUAGAAUAUGAUUAGGUGACAAUUAGUUUGAUUAUUUAUUUUUUAUGUGGGUAUGUAUUCAAUUUGGUGCCUUCAGUCUGAAGAACCCCAUCAUGUACUGCUAUCUAAUUUAUUGAUUUGGAUCCUUUAUUCUUCAGCAAAAUGUAUAUAGAUCUUCUACACUGAGCUCUUCAAAAAGAUAUGGAACAGAGAAACAACACAUGAAAAUUGGACUUGUUAGUUUUGGAUUGAAUCAGCUUUUAUUUUAAUACCUAGGCAUCUAAUGUAGAGGUGUGAUGGUUUCCAAACUCAAUGCAGACCCUUCUUUUGGAGUGGCAUGUAAAAUUGGUGCUAGGAGACCAAAUCACUUGUCCGUUUGUGUCUGCCCAUUGUUUCGACGAGGCACCUUGUUUUAACAAUAAAACCAAUUUAAGACUUCCCAAAACAGAGUUGACGAUGACUUUGAUAUUUUUUUGAAAGAAACAUCUACACUUGUCGUGGAAAGAUAUGAGGAGGAAGUUAAGACAGGACAUCUCAUACAACCUUUAGACGGAGUCCAUUUUCACAGAAACAAGAAGCAUUGGAGCAGCUAUGGGGAUCAACAGUGGCACUACUGUAAGAGUUCUAUUGCUCUUAUUUUAUUGUUUUUGGUUUGAGUAUUGCGUUUAUGCCAUAGACACCUUUACAUCCACACACUUCAUCAAGAAUUCUGAAACUAUAGUCUCUAAUGGAAGUCUCUUCAAACUGGGUUUCUUUAGCCCUAGUAAUUCUACCAAACGCUAUGUCGGAAUCUGGUACGGCAAGACUUCUGUAUCCUCUGUGGUAUGGGUUGCUAACAGGGACAAGCCCCUUAAUGAUACUUCUGGAAUUGUGAAGAUAUCUGAAGAUGGUAAUCUUCAAAUUUUGAAUGGCGAGAAAGAGGUUAUCUGGUCAUCAAAUGUUUCAAAUGCUGUAUCAAACACAACCGCGCAGCUUUUAGAUUCUGGAAACCUAGUUUUGAAAGACGACAGCAGUGGAAGGAUCAUAUGGGAGAGUUUCCAGCAUCCUUCUCAUGCACUUUUGGCAAAUAUGAAACUCAGCACCAACAUGUACACUGCUGAGAAACGAGUGCUGACAUCAUGGAAAAAGGCUUCGGAUCCAUCCAUUGGAAGCUUCUCUGUAGGAGUUGAUCCAUCAAAUAUCGCUCAAACUUUCAUUUGGAAUGGCAGUCAUCCAUAUUAUCGCACUGGUCCAUGGAAUGGCCAGAUCUUUAUUGGAGUAGCCAACAUGAAUUCAUUUGUUGGUAAUGGGUUUCGGAUGGAGCAUGAUGAAGAAGGUACCGUUUCUGUAUCUUUUACUACUAAUGAUUUUUUAUCAUUGUACUUUACCUUGACUCCUGAAGGAACAAUGGAGGAAAUAUAUAGACAGAAGGAAGAUUGGGAGGUCAGAUGGGAAAGCAAGCAAACUGAGUGUGAUGUUUAUGGUAAGUGUGGGGUAUUUGGAAUCUGUAAUCCAAAGAAUUCACCAAUUUGUAGCUGUUUGCGAGGGUAUGAGCCAAAGUCUGUAGAGGAAUGGAAUAGAGGAAAUUGGACUAGUGGGUGUGUGAGGAAGACUCCAUUGCAAUGUGAGAGAACAAAUGGUAGCAUUGAAGUGGGAAAAAUGGAUGGAUUUUUUAGGGUAACAAUGGUGAAAGUACCAGAUUUUGUAGAAUGGUUCCCUGCUCUUAAAAAUCAAUGCAGAGAUAUGUGCUUGAAGAAUUGUUCCUGUAUAGCUUAUUCCUAUAGUAAUGGAAUUGGUUGUAUGUCAUGGAGUCGUGACUUACUCGAUAUGCAAAAGUUCUCUAGCAGUGGAGCAGAUCUUUACAUUCGUGUUGCAGACACGGAACUAGGUAAAAUGGUCUUGUUUCCUUUACCUCUUUCUCUCUCUGCUUAGAUACUAGUUCAUAUUUUGAUGAAUUUUUAGUUCGAUAUUUACUUCUUGUUUUGAUUUACAGAUGAAAAGAGAAAUGUGAAAGUAAUUGUUUCAGUUAUAGUGAUUAUAGGAACAAUUACUAUCAUCUGCAUAUAUUUAUCAUGCAGGUGUUGGAUGACCAAACAAAGAGGUAAUAUUUCCCAUUUAACAUAGUCUAGUGGGAUGGGAUAUAUUUGUAGUUUUUAUCAUUACAUUCUCACUGCUAAAUUCACGAUCAGCAAGAGUAAGAAGGGAGAAAAUCCUGGAAGUGCCACUUUUUGAAAGAGGGAAUGUACAUCCAAAUUUUUCUGAUGCCAAUAUGCUUGGAAACAAUGUGAACCAAGUUAAACUUGAAGAGCAACAGCUUAUCAAUAUUGAGAAGCUGGUGACAGCAACAAAUAACUUUCAUGAGGCCAAUAAGCUGGGGCAGGGUGGUUUUGGUUCAGUGUACAGGGUAAUGCGUCUUCAACUGGAGCUUUAUUGGGUAUUAUGUUUGGACUAGUAUUUACUAGUUUGAUGAUUGUUUAAAGGGAAAAUUGCCAGAAGGACAAGAAAUAGCAGUGAAGAGGCUAUCAAGAGCAUCUGCCCAGGGGCUUGAAGAAUUUCUGAAUGAGGUUAUGGUGAUUUCUAAUGUCCAACACCGAAACCUUGUUAGACUUCUUGGCUGCUGCACUGAAGGAGAUGAAAAGAUGUUGGUCUAUGAGUACCUGCCAAAUAAAAGCUUGGAUGCCUUUCUCUUUGGUUAGAUCAUGCUAUUGUCCCUUCUCUUAUCCAUAGUUUCUGAAAUUUCUUAGUUCCACAUCAAUUGUCUCUUACCUUUUGUUUUCUGUUUUGGAUGCUAUUAAUUCAGAUCCUGUCAAGCGAGAUUCUCUAACUUGGAGGAGACGCUUCAGCAUUAUUGAAGGGAUUGCCCGAGGCCUCCUUUACCUUCACAGGGAUUCUAGAUUCAGAAUUAUUCAUCGGGACCUUAAGCCAAGUAACAUUUUAUUGGAUGAAGACAUGAAUCCUAAAAUUUCAGAUUUUGGUAUGGCCAGGAUAUUUCAAGCCAAACAGGAUAAAGCCAACACCGUCAGGAUUGCUGGAACAUAGUAAGUAGCCCUUGCUUUCUCCAAGUUCCCUUAACUUGGAUCCGAUAUUUAUUUCUGUCUCAAUGACAAAGUGCAGUGGCUAUAUGUCUCCGGAGUAUGCAAUGGAAGGGAUUUUUUCAGAGAAGUCCGAUGUAUUCAGCUUUGGAGUAUUAUUAUUAGAGAUUAUAAGCGGGAUAAAAAGCGCAGGCUUUUGUCAUGAUGAGCAGUCUUUGAGCCUUUUAGGAUAUGUAAGUGUUUUCUGUAUCAUCACCUCAGUUCUGUAAAGCUUCAUCAUCCUCUUCCUGUGACUGUUGAACUCUAAUAAGUUUCAAUUUAUGUGUUAAUUUUUCAGGCAUGGAAACUAUGGAAUGGAGACAGCAUGGAAGCAUUUAUAGACGGGAGAAUAUCAGAAGAAUGCUACCAAGAGGAGAUAUUGAGAUGCAUACAUGUGGGGUUGUUAUGUGUGCAAGAAUUAGCAAAAGAUCGGCCAUCUAUUUCAAUUGUUGUUUCUAUGCUCUGUAGUGAAAUUACUCAUCUUCCUUCCCCAAAGCCACCUGCAUAUAGUGAGAGGCAGAUUACAAUAGAUACAGAGUCCUCCAGGAGACAAAACUUAUGUUCAGUGAACCAAGUAACUGUUACAAACGUCCAUGCCCGGUAAAAAUUAGGUUAGAGAAAAUUAAAUCUUUAUUUGUAAUAUAUAUUUUGAUGAUUUCUGUGGGGAGGACUGUGCCCAUCCUCGUUUCAAGGAGCCCAUGAAGCUAUAGUUGCACGAAACAAUCAGUUUUGUUGAUUUUGAUACUUCAUUUCUCAAGAAAAAUCUAUACACCUUGAAAUAAAAACAUGCAGAUCAGAGAAAUAUCAUUGGAAAUUGGACAGGUUAAAGAUAAUAGGUAUUAAUGCUUUAUACUCUUUCUGGAUUGAAUUGCUUCUGUUUUAGUGCCCAAGCAUCUAAUGUGGAAGUGUGAAUAUGUGAUGGUUUCCAGAGUUGAAUGCAAGCCCCAUUUGUUUGACUGCCAGCCACAGUGGGUGGUUGCAGAUAAAAUAACAUUCCAUGUAAGCUUUCAAAUUGAUCCAUGUGAUGUAAUGGGGUUUAUUAAAAAAAUAUACAGGCUCCUUUUUUUGACGACCAAAUUGAUCCAAUCGUAUGGACAAAGAGAGUUCACCAUGACUUCGGCAGGAGCGGUCGGAUGAAUCUGAGAUGGAACAUUGUCAACAUCCCCAUUUAUGGCAUACCAGAUGGAGUCCAUUUUCUCAUCAACACGAAGCAUUGAAGCAGCUAUGGGAAUCAUCAGUGGCAUAAGUGUUACUUCUCUUACUUUCUUGUCUUUGUUUUCAGUUUUGCACAGGUACCAACACCAUUACAUCCACCCAGUUCAUCAAAGAUCCCGAAGCUAUGCUCUCUAAUGGAAGUCCCUUCAAAAUAGGUUUCUUUAGCUCUGGAAAUUCCACUAAACAAUACUUCGGGAUCUGGUACAACACCACUUCCCGAUUCACUGUUAUAUGGAUAGCUAACAGGGAAAACCCUCUCAAUGAUUCUUCAGGGAUUGUGAUGGUAUCUGAAGAUGGUAAUCUCCUGGUUCUAAAUGGCCACAAAGAGAUCUUCUGGUCAUCAAAUGAUUCAAAUGCCGCUCCAAAUUCAAGUGCCCAGCUUUUAGAUUCUGGGAACCUUGUUUUGCAGGACAAAAACAGUUGAAAGAUCAUAUGGGAGAGCUUCCAGCAUCCUUCUCACACCUUUUUGCAGAAGAUGGAGCUGAGUGAAAACAUUAAGACUGGUUAGAAGAAAGCACUAACAUCAUGGAAAAGUCCUUCGGAUCCACCUGUUGGAAGCUUCUCAGCUGGCAUUCAUCCAUCAAACAUUCCUGAAAUUUUAGUCUGGAGCGGCAGUUGUCCAUUCUGGCGUAGUGGUCCAUGGAAUGGUCAGACCUUAAUAGGAGUACCUGAAAUGAAUUAUCUCAAUGGAUUUCAUGUAGUUGAUGAUCAAGAUGGUAAUGUUUCUGUCCCUUUUGAGCAUGCAUACGCCUCUAUCUUAUGGUAGUAUGUCUCGUCUCCUCAAGGAACAAUAGUGGAAAUGUAUAGCCACGACAGCAUGGAGAAUUGGGAGAUUACAUGGCAGAGUCGUAAAAGUGAGUGUGAUGUCUAUGGCAAGUGUGGGGCAUUUGUAAUUCACCAAUUUGUAGCUGUUUAAGAGGGUUUGAACCAAGGAAUAUAGAGGAAUGGAGUAGAGGAAAUUGGACUGGUGAAUGUGUCAGGAAGAUAAUUAAUUUUAUCUUCAAGCUGUGUCAGAACUCAGAAGUUGUAGCAAAAUUAAUUUUUUUUUUAUAUUUUCUAAAUCCUUUUAAAGAGUAUUUUUAUUGUUGAAAGUGGAAGUAAGAAUGAGAAAUCCAUUUCAUGUCUUAUUUAGUUUUAUAUUUAGAUUAUUUAUUUUAUUUUUUAGUUAGAUUAUUUAUUAAAACAGAAUUGCUAAACACAUACGUCUUAUUUUCUUAUAAGUCCACUUAUUUUUUAUAUAUAUAAAAAAUUAAUUUAUUAUAUUUUUCAACUUCCAAACCCCAUUCACCCCAAACCCUAGUUUCAUUUUCUUCAUUUCUUUUUUUUUUUUUUUACAUUUUCUUAUUUUUUUCUUCUUCAUCCUCAAUUUUUUCCCCCAACAUCAAAAUAAAGAAGGAAAAACCGAUUCAUGUUUUGGAGGAUGGGUGGAGUGAGGUUGAAAAGGAGAGUAUUUUAAAUAUUUUGUAUAUAAAUUUUAUUUUUCAUUAAAAAAAAAUGGGUAGCCGUAUAAAAAGUUUUAAUGGAUAUAUUUAUAAAAUUUUUAUUAGAGAUGAGAAUAUAAAUAAAAUUUUUUAUUGAAACUAAAAUCCUCGCUCUUGUUAGGAUUUUGAUUCUUGACUUGCACCCAAAACCAUUUUUAUAUAUCUAAUGCAAUUUGAUUCAAAAAUUUGUUUAACAGCGUAAUUGCCUAAAUAUUUCAGCAUUGGUUCAAUUAAGCUAAAAAAUUUUUAAAACAAAUUGAAGAAUUUGAAAAAUGUCUUAAGUUUGGCUGAUAAAAAAAGAAUAUCAUUCAGGAAUUCAGCAGCAGGAUUGACUAUUGAGGGUACGGAUUGACUAGCAUGCCUUAAUAUUUGAUUCAUCCCGUAAUUAAUUCCAAUGGACAGCAUCAUCGUAUAGAAAGUUUGGAUCAUCAAGGAGUAGAGGUGAAAAUUGGGCUCGGACCCAUGGCCUGGCUCCGCUUGACACACAGUUGCUGUGCAGGUUGGGCUGCAUUAUGUGGCUCAGUGGAUCGGUCUGGAUAGGCUGGCUUAGUGGGCUCAAUGCAUCUGACUUUUGUUAUAGUGCAGUUUAAUUAUUUUUUUCUCGGGUCCUGAAUAAUAUUUAAAUGUAUGUUGUACUUGAAUUUGAUAUUUGAUUCUUUUAAUUGAAUGAGAAAAAAAAAAAUAUAUAUAUAUAUAUAUAUAGGUGGUCAAUAUGUUGAAUGAGGCCACGUCCAGGGUAGGCUUCUUUGAAUUCUAAAUUAAUUUCUGGAUUCAACGUUUAAAAAAUUUGAACAAUGUUUGACGUCGGACCCAGGAAAGACUGGGUUUUAACAUUCACGAAUUUAGAAGCAUGCACUAACAUUUGAUCCAUCCAGCAAUUAAACCUAAUAGACCGUGUCAUGGUAUGAAGGUACAGUUCCUUGAUCCAUCCAGGGCCCUAACUUAAAGGGUUUUGGUAAAAAUUAAUGUAGCAACCGGUUGAGGAAUUGGGAAGGGAGGAGUCUUCCAGAUUAGUUGAAUGCAAAGCAUUUUUCUAAUGCAAGGCUAUUUGGAAAGAGAAAUUGACUUGCCAGGCAAGACCUGAAAUGGCAUUACUAAAAGAAAUAUUUAUUUAUACAUCCAUAUGGGAACGGAGGGAGAUGAUUUAGACCUUUUGGUUACAGUAUUACAGAUGAAGAUGGAAAAUGUCAAAACAUCAUUGUAUGGCAUAUGCAUCGAAAAUAUUCAUCUCCAUAUUCACAACAGCAACCAUCAUUCAAGAGGUUAUGGAAUCAUCAGCCUCAAGAGCGUAAUAGCUCUACUUCUCUUGCUUUCUGUAAUUUGUUUUGGGUUUUGCACUGCCAUCGACACCAUGACCUCCACUCGAUUCAUCGAAGACCCUGAAACUCUAGUCUCUAAUGGAAGUGCCUUCAAACUGGGUUUCUUUAGCCUUGCCGAUUCAACCAACCGCUACGUUGGCAUCUGGUACAGUACCCCUUCUUUAUCUACUGUCAUAUGGGUGGCUAACAGGGACAAACCCCUCAAUGAUUCCUCUGGACUUGUGACCACAUCUGAAGAUCGUAAUCUUCUGGUUAUGAACGGCCAGAAAGAGAUUUUCUGGUCCUCAAAUGUUUCAAAUGCAGCACCAAAUUCAAGUGCUCAGCUUUUAGAUUCUGGACACCUUGUUCUGCGAGAUAACAGCGGAAGGAUCACAUGGGAGAGCAUCCAACAUCCUUCUCAUUCAUUUUUGCCAAAGAUGAAAAUCAGCGCUGAUAC
Molecule: long non-coding RNA, 17568 nt
Filed under: Vitis vinifera (wine grape)
Lineage: Eukaryota; Viridiplantae; Streptophyta; Magnoliopsida; Vitales; Vitaceae
Description: long non-coding RNA (VVIN_LNC007586)
Source: RNAcentral